CAGCAGCCGCGGUAAUACGGAGGGAGCUAGCGUUGUUCGGAAUUACUGGGCGUAAAGCGCGCGUAGGCGGUUACUCAAGUCAGAGGUGAAAGCCCGGGGCUCAACCCCGGAACUGCCUUUGAAACUAGGUGACUAGAAUCUUGGAGAGGUCAGUGGAAUUCCGAGUGUAGAGGUGAAAUUCGUAGAUAUUCGGAAGAACACCAGUGGCGAAGGCGACUGACUGGACAAGUAUUGACGCUGAGGUGCGAAAGCGUGGGGAGCAAACAGGAUUAGAUACCCCGUAGUCCCUGUCUCUUAUACA
RNAcentral lists this ribosomal RNA (301 nucleotides) under uncultured bacterium. RNAcentral describes it as "partial 16S ribosomal RNA". It matches the Rfam family "Bacterial small subunit ribosomal RNA", at positions 509 to 808 of the family's 1533-position model. The record is from RNAcentral.